Molecule: long non-coding RNA, 627 nt
Organism: Coffea arabica (coffee)
Lineage: Eukaryota; Viridiplantae; Streptophyta; Magnoliopsida; Gentianales; Rubiaceae
Source: RefSeq, a predicted model, not a curated record
UAAUCGAUGUUCAGCCACUGUUGGUAAACUUUCCUCCUUCCUUCACUUAGGUUAACUUUUAUGCUCUGCUGACUCCUUCGAUUGAUCUUCUUCCUCCGCCACCGACUGUCCCAAACUCCCAAUUUCCACUUCCGUCACUGCCAUUGCUGCUACCGCUAGCUGCAUCUCGAGUUUCUUCACUUCCUCCCACUUCAGCCACAGUCAUCGGUGCUACUGCUAGCUGCAUCUCCACCGCUUCCGCCAUCUCCACUUCAGCAACCUCCAAGAUCUUGUAGUGCUAAGGGCAGGUUGGGAAGAAAGGCAAGUUCCAAGGAAAGGCAGAGGAGCAAAGCUGCGAAAAAACAGAGCAAGGAAGGUUCAUCUGAAAAAGUUAAUCUUCUCCACUUCAGCAACUUCACCGCGAGAGACCACUGUUGGUUUGUAGAUCCAUUGCUGGCAUUAGUGAAGUUAUCAUAAUUUGUAUUAAUGGAUUUUUGUGGACAUUUGGAUAAUUUGUAUUAGUGGAUAAUUUUUGGAUAAUUUGUAUUAGUGGACAUUUGGACAUUUAUGAUUGUAUUAGUGCAUAAUUUGUAGGCCGCAAAAUCAAGAAUAUGUGAAAAAUUGUAGUUAUUUCAUGCGCAAAUUUUG